Molecule: ribosomal RNA, 428 nt
Filed under: uncultured bacterium
Lineage: Bacteria
Description: partial 16S ribosomal RNA
Rfam family: Bacterial small subunit ribosomal RNA
Source: RNAcentral
GUGGGGAAUAUUGGGCAAUGGGCGCAAGCCUGACCCAGCAACGCCGCGUGAAGGAAGAAGGCUUUCGGGUUGUAAACUUCUUUUACCAGGGACGAAACAAAUGACGGUACCUGGUGAAUAAGCCACGGCUAACUACGUGCCAGCAGCCGCGGUAAUACGUAGGUGGCGAGCGUUAUCCGGAUUUAUUGGGUGUAAAGGGCGUGUAGGCGGGACAGCAAGUCAGAUGUGAAAACCAGAGGCUCAACCUCUGGCCUGCAUUUGAAACUGUUGUUCUUGAGUGUCGGAGAGGUAAUCGGAAUUCCGUGUGUAGCGGUGAAAUGCGUAGAUAUACGGAGGAACACCAGUGGCGAAGGCGGAUUACUGGACGAUAACUGACGCUGAGGCGCGAAAGCGUGGGGAGCAAACAGGAUUAGAAACCCUAGUAGUCC